Molecule: ribosomal RNA, 468 nt
Filed under: uncultured bacterium
Lineage: Bacteria
Description: partial 16S ribosomal RNA
Rfam family: Bacterial small subunit ribosomal RNA
Source: RNAcentral
GACGAACGCUGGCGGCGUGCUUAACACAUGCCAGUCGAACGGAAAGGCCCUGCUUUUGUGGGGUGCUCGAGUGGCGAACGGGUGAGUAACACGUGAGUAACCUGCCCUUGACUUUGGGAUAACUUCAGGAAACUGGGGCAAAUACCGGAUAGGAGCUCCUGCUGCAUGGUGGGGGUUGGAAAGUUUCGGCGGUUGGGGAUGGACUCGCGGCUUAUCAGCUUGUUGGUGGGGUAGUGGCUUACCAAGGCUUUGACGGAUAGCCGGCCUGAGAGGGUGACCGGCCACAUUGGGACUGAGAUACGGCCCAGACUCCUACGGGAGGCAGCAGUGGGGAAUAUUGCACAAUGGGCGGAAGCCUGAUGCAGCAACGCCGCGUGCGGGAUGACGGCCUUCGGGUUGUAAACCGCUUUCGCCUGUGACGAAGCGUGAGUGACGGUAAUGGGUAAAGAAGCACCGGCUAACUACGUG